CUCAGACUGAAGUGAGGAGAGAGAACAUGGCUGAGGCAGCAGAAGGGGCUUAUUAUUCACUCAGUGAGAUAACCCCAGGGAGUGGCAGGUUAAAAGACUUCUGGUUCGGUGAGCAGUUAAAUGUAUUCCUUUCCCACCCAAAAAGAAGCAGCAAAGGGGAAACCUGCAGUGCUGUAGCUGAUGGUGAAGGAUGUCUUGAGUAGCAUGAGAAUCUACAGAGUUGGCAAUGGGCACUUGCAGCCCAGAAGGCCAAUCCCAUCCUGUGCUGCAUCAAGAGAAGAGUAGCAAGCAGAUCAGGAGAGGGGACUCUGCCACUUUGCUCUGGUCUGAAAAAGCAGCAGGGGACAUGAACUGCCUACGUAGAGCACCGAGGGAAGUUCCCAGUGUGGAAAUUGUCCCUCUCGGCGAGACAGACAGAAAAUGUCCUCGAUGCCUCCGUGCUGGUCACAUCCAGAGUGUGCUGGGAGCUCAGGGACUGUUCAGUCUCCACAACUCAGUGAGGAUUGGACACUGAAGCCUCUCCUUACACUGUCACCAACAAUGAGAGGAAUUCAGUCAUGGUUUUCGCUUCCUCUCCAGGUUGGUGUUUUUCUAACUGGCUGUGCCUGGCUCCUGGGGAGAUGAUAGGCUACUGGGGACAGUUCAUUGCAGAGAGAGCUGUGAAAAGGCUGUCUCAAGGAAUCCUAUUAAUGCCUUUGAAUCCUGGGCAGCUGAGCAGUGCCCCAACCUCAGUUCAGACUUCCAGAGUGCACUUCACACUUGCAGUCCUGUUCCACUGGCUCGUUUCAGACUUCAUCAAAACCUCAAGGUUUAGCUCACACCUGAUAAACUUUUUUUGAAGCUUCAUAAACCUUUUCUCUUCUUGGGCCCAGGCUUAGGUUCAUGGGCAAAAGCAUUAAGUCUCUUUUAUUUGGAGCCCUUGCAAGCUCUCUCUUGCCCCUUCCCUCUUGCUCAUUCUCAACUCCCUGAGCCUUCAGAACGCGGCAUCAGAUGGAAACAAGUGAAGCCACAAGUUGUAGGAGAGGUGAGCCUGCAAGAGCAGGAGAGGGGCUGCUGGUUGUGGAAGCCCCAGAAGCAGCAGCUGCUAAGAAAGGUGGUGAUUAGUUUGACACACUGCUAUUGUGUCAUGACUGACAGCCUGGAGCUGAAAAAGUGCCUAGGGCUGAGUUAGUCACACAAACAGGCAGAAGAUUGAGGAGGAGUCUCUGCCUUCUGCCAGGGGUUUGACCUCGGGUAACAUCAGGUUCCUCGACGAUGUUGAGCACUGCAAAUUUCCCCCGUGGUGGGGUGAUGGCAGGAGAGUAGCCCCAGCUGGCAUGUGCCCUGCUAUUUCUGCCAGAGACGCCCAAGGUGAAGAACUUUAUAAGGGCAACCUCCUGGCCAAACACUUCCAGUCCUUUGCCCAGGAGCAGUAAA
Molecule: long non-coding RNA, 1416 nt
Organism: Pogoniulus pusillus (Red-fronted tinkerbird)
Lineage: Eukaryota; Metazoa; Chordata; Aves; Piciformes; Lybiidae
Exons: 2
Source: RefSeq, a predicted model, not a curated record